Molecule: ribosomal RNA, 492 nt
Filed under: uncultured bacterium
Lineage: Bacteria
Description: partial 16S ribosomal RNA
Rfam family: Bacterial small subunit ribosomal RNA
Source: RNAcentral
AGUGAACGCUGGCGGUAGGCCUAACACAUGCAAGUCGAACGGCAGCACAGUAAGAGCUUGCUCUUACGGGUGGCGAGUGGCGGACGGGUGAGGAAUACAUCGGAAUCUACUUUUUCGUGGGGGAUAACGUAGGGAAACUUACGCUAAUACCGCAUACGACCUACGGUUGAAAGCAGGGGAUCUUCGGACCUUGCGCGAUUGAAUGAGCCGAUGUCGGAUUAGCUAGUUGGCGGGGUAAAGGCCCACCAAGGCGACGAUCCGUAGCUGGUCUGAGAGGAUGAUAAGCCAAACUGGAACUGAGACACGGUCCAGACGCCUAAGGGAGGCAGCAGUGGGGAAUAUUGGACAAUGGGCGCAAGCCUGAUCCAGCCAUACCGCGUGGGUGAAGAAGGCCUUCGGGUUGUAAAGCCCUUUUGUUGGGAAAGAAAAGCAGCAGGUUAAUACCCCGCUGUUCUGACGGUACCCAAAGAAUAAGCACCGGCUAACUUCGUG